This 75-nucleotide transfer RNA is filed under the name Bacillota bacterium. RNAcentral describes it as "Firmicutes bacterium (anaerobic digester metagenome) tRNA-Ile". It matches the Rfam family "tRNA". Rfam says of the family: Transfer RNA (tRNA) molecules are approximately 80 nucleotides in length. Their secondary structure includes four short double-helical elements and three loops (D, anti-codon, and T loops). Lineage: Bacteria; Bacillati; Bacillota. The record is from RNAcentral.
GGGCCCAUAGCUCAGCGGCAGAGCAGUCGGCUCAUAACCGAUCGGUCCCUGGUUCGAAUCCAGGUGGGCCCACCA